UACGUAGGUGGCGAGCGUUGUCCGGAUUUACUGGGCGUAAAGAGCGCGCAGGCGGUCGUUCAAGUCGGAUGUGAAAGCCCCCGGCUCAACUGGGGAGGGUCAUUCGAUACUGAUCGACUCGAAGGCAGGAGAGGGAAGCGGAAUUCCCGGUGUAGUGGUGAAAUGCGUAGAUAUCGGGAGGAACACCUAUGGCGAAGGCAGCUCGCUGGGACGUUACUGACGCUGAGACGCGAAAGCGUGGGGAGCGAACAGG
This 253-nucleotide ribosomal RNA is filed under the name uncultured bacterium. Its description in RNAcentral is "partial 16S ribosomal RNA". It matches the Rfam family "Bacterial small subunit ribosomal RNA", at positions 524 to 776 of the family's 1533-position model. The record is from RNAcentral.